GCUCCUUACAGUCACUCAGUGUCACAGGUGGGCUCCACCGUGGCCCCGAGGCUCCCUCCUCGUGGUGUCUGCGCCCCGCAUAGUGGACCUGCUCACCCGAAGUGACAGUCAUCUCCUUGGUUGGGCUGCAUCCGAUGAUAAUAGCAGUAGGAUAUUUACUCUGGUGACCAUAAACCCCACUGCUGCCACUGGCCUUCCCCAACUGGAGGAAGAUUCUCCUUGGGCUUAGAACACACAAGCCGGCACCCUGUGGCUGUGCCGUUGGCUGGGCCCCGAGGCUGGGCUGUACGAGCUGAAGGUGAUCCCCAGCCAGUGAGAAGACCGGGACCUCAUUCGUGCACAUGCAAGGCUCUGAACUUUGCCGCCACCUGAAUGAGCUUAAAAAGGACUUCAAGCCUCAGGUGCGGUCCCAGCCUGACCAACACCUUCAUUGCAGCCCACUGGGAGCCUGAGCAGAAGACACAGCAAUUGUAUCUGCUGAACAAAGGAAACUGCAAUCAUAAAUGUAUGCUCUUUUAAGCUGCUGUUCAUAAUUUUUUAUACAGCAAUAUGUAACUGACACAGUAUUCAUGCUUCUGUGGGGCCUUGACCUUGAAACUAGAGAAAGACAGGCUGGUUUUAAGACCUUUCUUGUAAGUUGGGUAACUGGAUCCUGAUGUUGAUUACUUACUUGUACACAACACCCUGUCCAUGAGAUAUGCUCUGCCAGAUUCUGAAUAUUCUCCCUCCCCCUCUCCCUUCCUCUAUCCAGGGUCUCACUAAGGCCCUAAGUUGCCCAGCCUCACCUCUCAAACUUGUGAUCCUCCUGCCUCAGCCUCCCAGAGCAUCAUCUGUGUUGAGUGAAGUCCUAUUAGGUAUCUGUGGGCCUUUUUCCUGUCGAUCAACAAGGGCUGAGUAGUUAAUGCUGAUAGACUCCUUCCUGCCAUGUUUUCUGUCUGCACACAGCAUUGCUGCUGCUACUGUGCAGUGGCUUCCCUUCUCUGGAGCCGGUUCCUGCUGCGAUCACAGCACAGCGUGCUAAGCCUGCUGGACUGAACUCCUUCAACUCCCCGCCCCAGUCUCCUUCACCAACACCAGCUGGAUUUGUCUCCUCAGCAGUCCUCUAGUAACAGUUACCUCAUCCAGUGUCCUGGAGUUGAGCUCAAUGUCCUAGAACUGAUACAGUAGGGUCCUCAAGUAAUACAGAAUAAUUAUUAAUAACUAAAUCAGUCAAAGACCAUUUUGAUACAAUGUAUAAUGCUAAUUUGUCUUUAUUUAGAAAAUAUUAGAAACUGUUUUAAGAUGUUAAACUGCUGUAAAAAUGUGUUGUCUCCAGAUCUUAGCAAUUUAUUUAUUGAAUGAAAAUGCACUCUUGUGUGCCAUGGCACAUGCCUGUAAUCCCAGGUACUCAAUAGGCUGAGGCAGGAGGAUUGCAAGUUCAAGGUCACCCUGUCUCAAAAGUGAAAAAGCCAAAAGGGCUGGAGAUGUCGCUCGGUGUUAGAAUGUAUCAGUGUUUGAUCCCAGUACCACAAAAUACAUUUUUGAAAAGGCAGAUAUUUUCCAAAUUUUAGAAUAAUUAAAAUAUAAAAGGCAAAAAAUAGUUGCAAAGAACAGUAAGAGUGACUUUCUGAUGCUUUGCCAAAGUCGAACUGGCUCUUGCAGCAAACGGCAUGUGAUGGAGAGACAUUCAGGUGGGCAGCAGAGCUGCCGCCGACUUCCUGCCAGCUGCCCACCUGCAGCCCAGGGUCCUGCUGCAGGCCGUCAGGGGAGCCAACACCACUGCAGGUCCGGCUGAGGCGUGAAAUGGCACAGCUAUUUCAGACACUGAAGCAUAACGUUUCCUAUUUUUCCCUUCAAAAUGUGAUCACAAAGGAAGGGAAUGAAGGGAGAGUUUCCCCACUAAUGAGGAGGCUGCUGGUUUUCCAGAGCUGCCUGGGAGUCACUGAGCACCCCAUUUGGUGCAAGCGGGGAGUG
Molecule: long non-coding RNA, 1953 nt
Organism: Heterocephalus glaber (naked mole-rat)
Lineage: Eukaryota; Metazoa; Chordata; Mammalia; Rodentia; Bathyergidae
Source: Ensembl